GCGCACCAGUCGCGAAAACUCCGCAAUACGCGAAAGCGUGACGGGGCUACCCCGAGUGUCGUCCGCUGAGGACGACUUUUCCACGCUGUAAGGAGGCGUGGGAAUAAGGAGAGGGCAAGUCUGGUGUCAGCCGCCGCGGUAAUACCAGCUCUCCGAGUGGUAGGGACGAUUAUUGGGCUUAAAGCGUCCGUAGCCGGCUCAGCAAGUCUCCCGUUAAAUCCAACGAUUCAAUCGUUGGACUGCGGGAGAUACUGUUAGGCUAGGGGGCGGGAGAAGCCGACGGUAUUUCCGGGGUAGGGGUAAAAUCCUAUAAUCCCGGGAAGACCACCAGUGGCGUAGGCGGUCGGCUAGCACGCGCUCGACAGUGAGGGACGAAAGCUGGGGUAGCGAACCGGAUUAGAUACCCGGGUAGUCC
Molecule: ribosomal RNA, 415 nt
Filed under: uncultured crenarchaeote
Lineage: Archaea; Thermoproteati; Thermoproteota
Description: partial 16S ribosomal RNA
Rfam family: Archaeal small subunit ribosomal RNA
Source: RNAcentral